This is a long non-coding RNA of Callithrix jacchus (white-tufted-ear marmoset), 1994 nucleotides long. The record is from Ensembl. Lineage: Eukaryota; Metazoa; Chordata; Mammalia; Primates; Cebidae.
GGCAAAAUUCUCUUUAAUUGGCAUACUUUAAGAACUCCGUACAGAUCAGAUUUUAGGUGAUUUAUUUAAAUGUCUUUUUCUCUGAAGAAAAUGAUAUAUCAGCUUCUUUCUCGUUUCAACUAGCUUGUAUACACUUUUUAAAGUCAGUAUUAUUUUAAUUUUUAACUUUUUCUAAUUCAUUUAUCAGAGUUCUUUAGAGAUACCAUUUGAAAGCAUCUGUGAAGCCAAGUCAGCAAUACCCAGACUUCAACAACAAGAAUAUAAAUUAAGAAGAAACCCCAGAUCUCAAUUAUCACAGUGGCCUUCUGGAAGGAUGGGCGGAGAGGACUUUGGGCCUGCAUCUGGACUUAGCUGAAAAGUGCUCUCUGAUAGAGAAGCCGUGUUUGCUGAAGAGUUGUGGCGAGGAUGCUUUCCAUUUGCUGACCUUGGACUGGGUGUCAUCUUUAGCAUCAAGUGCUAGCACACCUGUGAAGAAGAUGCAAUUUGUCAUCCGUGCCUGUUGCCAAGUGUUCUCUGCUCUCAAGAUCUUCUGUAACUGAGUAUUUAAACCUGCCCUUCUCAAGCAGUGUUAAAAAUGAUAGCUUGUCUUAUAGAUACUUUUAUUAGGAUUCUACUUUGCCAAAUGACCAGCAGACUAAUCUCCCAUUUGGGAUGGUGAGGUGGGUUACACUACAUUCUCCAGUGGGUCUGUAAAAAACUCUGGGCUUGAAGUAAAUAACUCAAUAAUGAUAAGCACCAAGAGUUGCUAGGGAAAAUAGGUAUUUCUGUGUUCAUCAAAGUGGGCAUCUUUCUAUUCUGUCUCUCUGAGAGAUUGACACUGCUUUUAAGGUCAACUUUAGCACCAUGUUUUAGUAAUAAAAUCAUUUCUUUCUCAGAAGGUAAAUGGUUUUAAGGCUUUCAGUGGAGGAGGCACUAAAUGAGCUUUCAACUAAACUUUGGUGUCUUCAAAUAAAUUCAAGCUCAAAGCCCCUUACAUUCAAACCUUAAGCAUCAGGUUUCAGGUCUCUGUAUUUGAAUUAAAAACUCUAAACCCUAAAAACCUGAAGCCAUGGCCAUGUAUAUCUUUUCAUCAUUUUAUCCCAGGAAUGAUCAUAGUGGCUGGGUAUAUAGUGAUCAAUAAAUGUUUUUGCCCCAGCAGUCUAGAAGGUUAGCAACACCAAGGGAAAUUGCUUAAGAGGGCUAAUCAGAGCUCUGCUUCAGUCAUAUAACAUGUCUACCAUGCAUUCAUGGCUGUUACAAAAAUUCAGGGUCUAACAAUUCUAACAUAUUAGCAGUCCAUUGUCACACUGAUUUUUAUUUCCUAAUGGAAUAUUAGAACUUUCAUUGCUUGAUAGAUUGGCAUUGGUGUCCAAAUUGUCAAAUGUUAUGACAUGAAGUUAUAAGCCCUUAUGGAGGAGAAGAAAAGCAGCACCCUAAAACCACAAGCAGCCAUUUAAAAAAAUACAAUUACUCUUUAGAAUUUUUAUGACCAUUUAUUUAAGUUCUAAGAAUUUUUAAAGUGAUAUGUAAAAACACCAUAAUGUCACAACUUUAAAUCAGAUUUUAAAUGAACCCCUUUGUAAAGAAGCAGACGUUAUUAGGUCAAUAACCUCUUUACUCUUCUCUGUUGUUAAAGUGAACUAAAUAUGGCCUGAGAAGGACUCUGUACUUCUAUAUUUGAGUCCUUGUGGACAAACUGCAACAUAGCUUAAUAGCUAGACAAGAUUGAAAACCUAAUUUAGGAUUAUGUGCUUGUAACUGAGUCUUGACCAAUCCCAGUGGCAGUACUUCAACCAUUCAUACAAUGCUGAGUGUCCAAACUGUGCAAAAAUAAGGCAAACGCCAACUUGUAACUAAUUCAGCUGUUCUGUACCUCAAUUCCAAUUUCUGUACCUCAUUUUCCUUAUUUUGUCUAUAACUUUCUUCCACCACGUGGCUACACUGGAGUCUCUGUGAAUCUGCUGUGGCUCUGGAAGGUGCCCAAUUCAUGAAUCAUUCAUUGCUCAAUUAAACUC